GAGGAAUUUUGGACAAUGGGGGCAACCCUGAUCCAGCCAUGCCGCGUGUCUGAAGAAGGCCUUCGGGUUGUAAAGGACUUUUGUUGGGGAGCAAAUCAGUGUGGGUGAAUAAUCCAUGCUGGAUGAGAGUACCCAAAGAAUAAGCACCGGCUAACUACGUGCCAGCAGCCGCGGUAAUACGUAGGGUGCGAGCGUUAAUCGGAAUUACUGGGCGUAAAGGGUGUGCAGGCGGUUUACCAAGCUUGAUGUGAAAUCCCCGGGCUUAACCUGGGACGUGCAUUGGGAACUGGUAGACUAGAGUCUGUCAGAGGGGGGUGGAAUUCCACGUGUAGCAGUGAAAUGCGUAGAGAUGUGGAGGAACACCGAUGGCGAAGGCAGCCCCCUGGGAUAAGACUGACGCUCAGGCACGAAAGCGUGGGUAGCAAAC
Molecule: ribosomal RNA, 427 nt
Filed under: uncultured bacterium
Lineage: Bacteria
Description: bacterial SSU rRNA
Rfam family: Bacterial small subunit ribosomal RNA
Source: RNAcentral